CUAAUUAUAUUCAACUUAAACCAGUUACAUAAGCCGGAGAUUGCCAAUAAAGGUUCUCGGAGACAAUAGUCCACACAAGGGAGACAAAGAUUAGACAAAGAUACAAAACAUAGAACUAAACAACUAAUCAAUCUAAACUAGAAGGCAAGAGUGACAGAUAAAAAGAAACCUUUACAAAACACAGAAUAGCAUGCAGAUUUGAUAGAGCUUCUUUGAAAGAAGACAAGGCGAGGAAGCCAUCCAUGACUAUAAACCUUCGGCUUGUGACUCCUCCUAUGAUGAAUAGUCCAGACGAAUUAGAGAACAAAGCUUCAUAUCCAGGAGACAGAACAAUUUCAGUUCAUAAGUCUUCCACCGGAAAGACGAUGACGGAGAGGAUACCACGAAACGCCAUAACUGAAGCCAUAAAGAAGGGAAGAUCUUGAUCAAAUCUUAAAGUUAGAUGACAAAGAGCGAGACAACUCACAAACCGGUAUAAACUAUCCCGAUAGAUCAAGAUAGCCGAAGAUCGAGCCCAAAUAUGAGCCAAAGAGAACUCAAAAUCGACAUGGAAACUCAUUCAAAUCAACACAAGAUUUCAAACAAUACCCAGUCAAAAGGGAAAAGAACACAAACCACUCUUCCCAGAAAGAUCGAUAACACAAAAUAAGAUCGACUUCGGCUCUAUGGAAACAGCAAGAGUCUGCGAAACGGUGAGAUCAAUCGGAGGAAACCAAGAGAGAAGGCAUAGGAUUAAGAGAGAAAAAAAGGACUAAGAUAAGCAAACUGGUC
This 771-nucleotide long non-coding RNA is filed under the name Brassica napus (rape). Its description in RNAcentral is "long non-coding RNA (BNAP_LNC007515)". The record is from RNAcentral. Lineage: Eukaryota; Viridiplantae; Streptophyta; Magnoliopsida; Brassicales; Brassicaceae.